RNAcentral lists this ribosomal RNA (385 nucleotides) under Russula parasitica. Its description in RNAcentral is "LSU rRNA". It matches the Rfam family "Bacterial large subunit ribosomal RNA", at positions 1721 to 2094 of the family's 2925-position model. Lineage: Eukaryota; Fungi; Basidiomycota; Agaricomycetes; Russulales; Russulaceae. The record is from RNAcentral.
AUUAUCCUCAUAAGUUUGACAAUAAGAGAAACCAUAUAAAAUUUAAAUUAUUAAUAAUUUAAAUAAUAAUAUGGUAUAAUAAAAUCGGAGGCCACGACUGUUUACUAAAAACACAAUUCAGAGCAAUGAUUAAUAUAAUAGUAUUCUGGAUGAAAUUUGCUCAAUGCCAUUAAUAUAAGAGAGGUAAUUUUAAAGUUACUAAUCGAAAAUCUGGUUAAUAGCGGUCUUAACUAUGAGGAUCCUAAGGUAGCAAAAUAAAUUGGCCAUUAAAUGUGGUCUUGUAUCAAUAAUGUAACGAUGGUCUCACUGUCUCUACAACUUGCUCAGUGAAAUUGAAUUGCGAGUGCAGAUGCUCGCUAUCUUCAGAGGGACGGGAAGACCCUAU